UACGUAGGUGGCAAGCGUUGUCCGGAUUUAUUGGGCGUAAAGCGAGCGCAGGCGGUUUCUUAAGUCUGAUGUGAAAGCCCCCGGCUCAACCGGGGAGGGUCAUUGGAAACUGGGAGACUUGAGUGCAGAAGAGGAGAGUGGAAUUCCACGUGUAGCGGUGAAAUGCGUAGAUAUAUGGAGGAACACCAGUGGCGAAGGCGGCUCUCUGGUCUGUAACUGACGCUGAGGCUCGAAAGCGUGGGGAGCAAACA
This 251-nucleotide ribosomal RNA is filed under the name uncultured Enterococcaceae bacterium. RNAcentral's name for it is "partial 16S ribosomal RNA". It matches the Rfam family "Bacterial small subunit ribosomal RNA", at positions 524 to 774 of the family's 1533-position model. Lineage: Bacteria; Bacillati; Bacillota; Bacilli; Lactobacillales; Enterococcaceae. The record is from RNAcentral.